AUUGAACGCUGGCGGCAUGCCUUACACAUGCAAGUCGAACGGCAGCACGGGGCAACCUGGUGGCGAGUGGCGAACGGGUGAGUAAUGCAUCGGAACGUGCCAUUGAGUGGGGGAUAACGUAGCGAAAGUUGCGCUAAUACCGCAUAUUCUGUGAGCAGGAAAGCAGGGGACCGCAAGGCCUUGCGCUCUUUGAGCGGCCGAUGUCAGAUUAGCUAGUUGGUGAGGUAACGGCUUACCAAGGCGACGAUCUGUAGCGGUCUGAGAGGAUGAUCCGCCACACUGGAACUGAGACACGGUCCAGACUCCUACGGAGGCAGCAGUGGGGAAUUUUGGACAAUGGGCGCAAGCCUGAUCAGCCAUGCCGCGUGAGUGAAGAAGG
This 379-nucleotide ribosomal RNA is filed under the name uncultured bacterium. RNAcentral's name for it is "bacterial SSU rRNA". It matches the Rfam family "Bacterial small subunit ribosomal RNA", at positions 30 to 414 of the family's 1533-position model. The record is from RNAcentral.